This 139-nucleotide small nucleolar RNA is filed under the name Colletotrichum graminicola M1.001. RNAcentral's name for it is "small nucleolar RNA SNORD14". Lineage: Eukaryota; Fungi; Ascomycota; Sordariomycetes; Glomerellales; Glomerellaceae. The record is from RNAcentral.
UCAACAUGAUGAAAUAUCCACCAAAUUCGCAGUUUUCACUCGAGUCACGGCCACGAGCUUUUCCGGCGGGCGCUUCUUUUCAAAAGAGGGCGUCUUAAGUGAUGCAUGAGGGCCAAUUCUUCCUUGGAUGUCUGACCGU